This 73-nucleotide transfer RNA is filed under the name Gaiellales bacterium. RNAcentral describes it as "tRNA-Arg". It matches the Rfam family "tRNA". Rfam says of the family: Transfer RNA (tRNA) molecules are approximately 80 nucleotides in length. RNAcentral also lists the same sequence under 2 other names. The record is from RNAcentral. Lineage: Bacteria; Bacillati; Actinomycetota; Thermoleophilia; Gaiellales.
GGGUCCGUAGCUCAGGGGACAGAGCAGAAGCCUUCGAAGCUUCCGGUCGGGGGUUCGAAUCCCUCCGGGCCCA